This 301-nucleotide ribosomal RNA is filed under the name uncultured bacterium. RNAcentral's name for it is "partial 16S ribosomal RNA". It matches the Rfam family "Bacterial small subunit ribosomal RNA", at positions 509 to 807 of the family's 1533-position model. The record is from RNAcentral.
CAGCCGCCACGGGAAUACGAAGGGGGCUAGCGUUGUUCGGAAUUACUGGGCGUAAAGCGCACGUAGGCGGAUAUUUAAGUCAGGGGUGAAAUCCCAGAGCUCAACUCUGGAACUGCCUUUGAUACUGGGUAUCUUGAGUAUGGAAGAGGUGAGUCGAAUUCCGAGUGUAGAGGUGAAAUUCGUAGAUAUUCGGAGGAACACCAGUGGCGAAGGCGGCUCACUGGUCCAUUACUGACGCUGAGGUGCGAAAGCGUGGGGAGCAAACAGGAUUAGAGACCCCAGUAGUCCCUGUCUCUUAUAC